Molecule: non-coding RNA, 200 nt
Organism: Camelina sativa (false flax)
Lineage: Eukaryota; Viridiplantae; Streptophyta; Magnoliopsida; Brassicales; Brassicaceae
Source: RefSeq, a predicted model, not a curated record
AGGACCAUAUUGUUAACAUACAAGCACAAGACCCAUUCAGUUGAUUCCAAUGGUGGGAUCAUCUCCAAUGCAGACAUUGAUUUCUACAUGAACAAUGACAUGAUCUACGUUGUGGAAUCAAAACCCGUAAAACGUUAUGGGGAUUUCUUCUUGCGCCAGAUUGCCAAGCUCGAAGGCGUGAUAAACGAUAUGGACCGCGU